AAAGUGCGACAAGUGUCACGACUUGCAGAUUCCCGAGAGCUGACAAAUCUCUGAAUGCAAAUUGCAGCCAAGUUUAAGCUGGCUAUGUAUUGCAGAGUGUAAUGAGCUUAAGCUCUUCAUCCCAAUUCUUUCCAAAAGAAGAAUGAGGGGACAUGCGAUUGCCGAAGAAUCCGGUUUCCGGAAUCGAAAGCGAUCGUAAAAGGUAGGAAACCCACGGGUUUGCCUUGAAAUACGAAGGAUUGACUCGUGCAAUGUCUAUUCCCAAAGUUUACCUCUGCGAUGCAGGAAUACCCGCUGAACUUAA
RNAcentral lists this unclassified non-coding RNA (304 nucleotides) under uncultured fungus. Its description in RNAcentral is "sequence contains ITS1". The stretch from base 1 to 102 matches the Rfam family "5.8S ribosomal RNA", at positions 50 to 154 of the family's 154-position model. Lineage: Eukaryota; Fungi. The record is from RNAcentral.